UUUGGUGGCUUGACGCAGAGGUCACACCGGUUCUCAUUCCGAACACCGAAGUUAAGCUCUGUAGUGCCGAUGAUACUCGCAAGGGGAAAGUAGGUAGCCGCCAGAA
Molecule: ribosomal RNA, 106 nt
Filed under: Candidatus Zambryskibacteria bacterium RIFCSPHIGHO2_01_FULL_46_30
Lineage: Bacteria; Candidatus Zambryskiibacteriota
Also listed under: 1 other name
Source: RNAcentral